RNAcentral lists this ribosomal RNA (467 nucleotides) under uncultured bacterium. RNAcentral describes it as "partial 16S ribosomal RNA". It matches the Rfam family "Bacterial small subunit ribosomal RNA", at positions 28 to 506 of the family's 1533-position model. The record is from RNAcentral.
GACGAACGCUGGCGGCGUGCUUAACACAUGCAAGUCGAACGGAAAGGCCCUGCUUUUGUGGGGUGCUCGAGUGGCGAACGGGUGAGUAACACGUGAGUAACCUGCCCUUGACUUUGGGAUAACUUCAGGAAACUGGGGCUAAUACCGGAUAGGAGCUCCUGCUGCAUGGUGGGGGUUGGAAAGUUUCGGCGGUUGGGGAUGGACUCGCGGCUUAUCAGCUUGUGGGUGGGGUAGUGGCUUACCAAGGCUUUGACGGGUAGCCGGCCUGAGAGGGUGACCGGCAACAUUGGGACUGAGAUACGGCCCAGACUCCUACGGGAGGCAGCAGUGGGGAAUAUUGCACAAUGGGCGGAAGCCUGAUGCAGCAACGCCGCGUGCGGGAUGACGGCCUUCGGGUUGUAAACCGCUUUCGCCUGUGACGAAGCGUGAGUGACGGUAAUGGGUAAAGAAGCACCGGCUAACUACGG